This 292-nucleotide ribosomal RNA is filed under the name uncultured microorganism. Its description in RNAcentral is "partial 16S ribosomal RNA". It matches the Rfam family "Bacterial small subunit ribosomal RNA", at positions 505 to 796 of the family's 1533-position model. The record is from RNAcentral.
GCGCCCUCAGCCGCGGUAAUGCUUAAGGGGCUAGCGUUAUCCGGAAUUAUUGGGCGUAAAGCGCGCGUAGGCGGUUUUUUAAGUCUGAUGUGAAAGCCCACGGCUCAACCGUGGAGGGUCAUUGGAAACUGGAAAACUUGAGUGCAGAAGAGGAAAGUGGAAUUCCAUGUGUAGCGGUGAAAUGCGCAGAGAUAUGGAGGAACACCAGUGGCGAAGGCGACUUUCUGGUCUGUAACUGACGCUGAUGUGCGAAAGCGUGGGGAUCAAACAGGAUUAGAUACCCUGGUAGUCC